AGGACUAACGCUGGCGGCGUGCCUAACACAUGCAAGUCGAACGAGAGUAGCAAUACUCUAGUGGCAGACGGGUGAGUAACACGUGGUCAACCUACCUUUAAGUGGGGGAUAACUAGCCGAAAGGUUAGCUAAUACCGCAUACGAUCUUCGCGUGGCAUCACAUGAAGAUGAAAGGAGCAAUCCGCUGAAAGACGGGACCGCGUCCCAUUAGCCAGUUGGUGGGGUAACGGCCUACCAAAGCAACGAUGGGUAGCUGGCUUGAGAGAGCGACCAGCCACACUGGGACUGAGACACGGCCCAGACUCCUACGGGAGGCAGCAGUGAGGAAUUUUCCGCAAUGGGCGAAAGCCUGACGGAGCGACGCCGCGUGUGGGAUGAAGGCCUCGGGUCGUAAACCACUGUCGAAGGGGAGAGUAUUGACGGUACCUUGGAGGAAGCCCGGCUAACUACGCGCUAGCAGCCGC
RNAcentral lists this ribosomal RNA (464 nucleotides) under uncultured bacterium. RNAcentral describes it as "SSU rRNA". It matches the Rfam family "Bacterial small subunit ribosomal RNA", at positions 26 to 518 of the family's 1533-position model. The record is from RNAcentral.